UGCAUAUCAAUAAGCGGAGGAAAAGAAACCAACAGGGAUUGCCCUAGUAACGGCGAGUGAAGCGGCAACAGCUCAAAUUUGAAAUCUGGCGUCUUCGGCGUCCGAGUUGUAAUUUGCAGAGGGCGCUUUGGCAUUGGCAGCGGUCCAAGUUCCUUGGAACAGGACGUCACAGAGGGUGAGAAUCCCGUACGUGGUCGCUAGCCUUUACCGUGUAAAGCCCCUUCGACGAGUCGAGUUGUUUGGGAAUGCAGCUCUAAAUGGGAGGUAAAUUUCUUCUAAAGCUAAAUACUGGCCAGAGACCGAUAGCGCACAAGUAGAGUGAUCGAAAGAUGAAAAGCACUUUGGAAAGAGAGUUAAAAAGCACGUGAAAUUGUUGAAAGGGAAGCGCUUGCAGCCAGACUUGCCUGUAGUUGCUCAUCCGGGUUUUUACCCGGUGCACUCUUCUACGGGCAGGCCAGCAUCAGUUUGGGCGGUUGGAUAAAGGUCUCUGUCAUGUACCUCCUCUCGGGGAGAACUUAUAGGGGAGACGACAUGCAACCAGCCCGGACUGAGGUCCGCGCAUCUGCUAGGAUGCUGGCGUAAUGGCUGUAAGCGGCCCGUCUUGAAA
This 607-nucleotide small RNA is filed under the name Epicoccum sorghinum. RNAcentral's name for it is "eukaryotic LSU rRNA". It matches the Rfam family "Eukaryotic large subunit ribosomal RNA", at positions 37 to 659 of the family's 3401-position model. Lineage: Eukaryota; Fungi; Ascomycota; Dothideomycetes; Pleosporales; Didymellaceae. The record is from RNAcentral.